AGUUGCCCUGCUAGUGCUAUUUCCAUUUUUAUCACCCGAAUAACGGACUUCUUUCGGUAAUUUCCGGAGAUCAGACCCUCUUGCUACUGUGCUGUUGCUAUGGAAAUUCUCCCAAACAGCAGGAAGGUGGGUCUGUUAGAAUCAGGGCUCUGAGGGAGCUCAACUGAGGCAAAACUAAGCUGAUAAGGACAUGUCUCAUUGUCCUGGGCAGUUAGAGACGGAGCAAUCAAUGGUGUUAUUUCCUGGGCCAGACAUUCUAAAGGGUGACCUAUAAUGGUGAUAUCUUGCAUGGCACCAUCCUCGAUCCUCUGACUUUGCCCCUGAACCAAGAAGCAGCGUGGCCUAAUGGCUGUUGCUAUGGAAAUCUUUCCCAUACUACCCGCAGACGUGACUCACGGAGCCUCGGAACCUUUAACUCUGCAAUCCUGCGGUGUGUCAUGAGGAGAACUCAGUACAUUUACUGUAAGAAGAGAAGGCAAAAUCUACUUUCUGAAAGACAUCUUCACUAUCGUUCCGCAGAUAAGGUCAUGCUGUGGAAAUCCUCAGGCUGCGGGACACUCUCUCUCUCCAUUCUAUCUUGAGCCUUCAGCUGACUGAGAUAUUGGCUUCUGGAGUCAUCAUUAAUCACUUCGUGACUUCAAGGGAGAAACUUGAUUGUUUUUUAACGAUGUACUCCUCUCCGGCAUUAAAUAUGAUACUGUGAUGAUUACAGUAUUAUCAAGAUGCCGCUGCUAUUUUCCUUCAGAGCAAGAGUUUGGGAAAAAAUCAACUUCAGGAAAUUAGCAAAUGGGGAUCAGUAAUAAUAAAAAUAGUAUUAAUCAUA
Molecule: long non-coding RNA, 823 nt
Organism: Ornithorhynchus anatinus (platypus)
Lineage: Eukaryota; Metazoa; Chordata; Mammalia; Monotremata; Ornithorhynchidae
Exons: 3
Source: RefSeq, a predicted model, not a curated record